Molecule: ribosomal RNA, 253 nt
Filed under: uncultured bacterium
Lineage: Bacteria
Description: partial 16S ribosomal RNA
Rfam family: Bacterial small subunit ribosomal RNA
Source: RNAcentral
UACGAAGGGGGCUAGCGUUGUUCGGAAUUACUGGGCGUAAAGCGCGCGCAGGCGGUCUUCCAAGUCAGUGGUGAAAGCCUGGAGCUCAACUCCAGAACUGCCAUUGAAACUGUUAGACUUGAGUACGAGAGAGGUGAGUGGAAUUCCCAGUGUAGAGGUGAAAUUCGUAGAUAUUGGGAAGAACACCAGUGGCGAAGGCGGCUCACUGGCUCGUAACUGACGCUCAUGCACGAAAGCGUGGGGAGCAAACAGG